UCUGUCUCACUAUUCAAGUUCUGGUUCCUAGCUGAGCUGAUGAAGAGUCCUCCAAGAAGUGUGGUAGAGAAACAUACAUCAUGUAUGUGGUAAAAGAACACACAUCACAUAUUGGGUAUAACACUCUCUUCAGUGAAAGGCGUCAUCAGAGGUGUCCAGACAGAUCAGCUCACCUUGUCAUCUAAGAACUUCAGAGAGCUGUAGGACUCCUGUGAAGAUGGAAGUUAUUACUGCAAGCUAACAACCACAACAUCUGUUAACCACUGGAUAAAAUUAAGAGUUGGCGAGGGCCACUGGGUCUGAACAGAUUAUUUUCCUAGUAGGAGGGUUACCCUUCUGAUUAACACCCUUGCAACCCGAUUAACUUUGGGCAUGAUGUUUACAGAAUUCCGUCACUGGCCUUGAAAUGAGAAUCUUACUUGCAGAGAUUCCUCCAAGCCUGUUGUUUUACUUUUCCCUGGAACCUGAGACCCUCACAAAGGCAGCCUGGCCCACCUAUUGUCUGAAAACAACAGGAUCUUCCCAAGGAUAGUA
This is a long non-coding RNA of Hyaena hyaena (striped hyena), 534 nucleotides long. RefSeq lists it as uncharacterized. Lineage: Eukaryota; Metazoa; Chordata; Mammalia; Carnivora; Hyaenidae. The record is from RefSeq and is a predicted model, not a curated record. The transcript is spliced from 2 exons.